GAUGAACGCUGGCGGCGUGCCUAAUACAUGCAAGUCGAGCGAACAGACGAGGAGCUUGCUCCUUUGACGUUAGCGGCGGACGGGUGAGUAACACGUGGAUAACCUACCUAUAAGACUGGGAUAACUUCGGGAAACCGGAGCUAAUACCGGAUAACAUGUUGAACCUCAUGGUUCAACAGUGAAAGACGGUCUUGCUGUCACUUAUAGAUGGAUCCGCGCCGCAUUAACUAGUUGGUAAGGUAACGGCUUACCAAGGCAAGGAUGCGUAGCCGACCUGAAAGGGUGAUCGGCCACACUGGAACUGAGACACGGUCCAGACUCCUACGGGAGGAAGCAGUAGGGACUCUUACGCAAAGGGCGAAUGGCUGACGGAGCGACGUGGCGUGAGUGAAGAAGGUCUUCGGAUCGUAAAACUCUGUUAUUAGGGAAGAACAAAUGUGUAAGUAACUAUGCACGUCUUGACGGUACCUAAUCAGAAAGCCACGGCUAACUACGUG
RNAcentral lists this ribosomal RNA (497 nucleotides) under uncultured bacterium. RNAcentral describes it as "partial 16S ribosomal RNA". It matches the Rfam family "Bacterial small subunit ribosomal RNA", at positions 28 to 507 of the family's 1533-position model. The record is from RNAcentral.